AAAUAAGUAAGCUAAUCAAAGCUUUUAGGUUCAUACCCUAACUAUAGAAAAUUUUCUCUUAUUUA
This 65-nucleotide transfer RNA is filed under the name Pheidole flaveria. RNAcentral's name for it is "tRNA-Met". The record is from RNAcentral. Lineage: Eukaryota; Metazoa; Arthropoda; Insecta; Hymenoptera; Formicidae.